GGACAAGAAUAAUCUCGGGAAACUGGGCAUAAUUCUUGAUAGAUCAUAAUGCCUGGAAUGGUUAUGGUUAAAAUGAUUCGUCGCCAUAGGAUGGGACUGCGGCCUAUCAGCUUGUUGGUGAGGUAAUGGCCCACCAAGGCGAUUACAGGUACGGGCUCUGAGAGGAGAAGCCCGGAGAUGGGUACUGAGACACGGACCCAGGCCCUAUGGGGCGCAGCAGGCGAGAAAACUUUGCAAUGUGCGAAAGCACGACAAGGUUAAUCCGAGUGAUUUCUGCUAAAGAAAUCUUUUGCCAGUCAUAAAACCACUGGUGAAUAAGGGGUGGGCAAGUUCUGGUGUCAGCCGCCGCGGUAAAACCAGCACCUCAAGUGGUCAGGAUGAUUAUUGGGCCUAAAGCAUCCGUAGCCGGCUUUGUAAGUUUUCGGUUAAAUCCAUGUGCUCAACGCAUGGGCUGCCGAAAAUACUGCAUGGCUAGGGAGUGGGAGAGGUAGACGGUACUCAGUAGGAAGGGGUAAAAUCCUUUGAUCUAUUGAUGACCACCUGUGGCGAAGGCGGUCUACCAGAACACGUUCGACGGUGAGGGAUGAAAGCUGGGGGAGCAAACCGGAUUAGAUACCCGGGUAGUCCCAGCUGUAAACGAUGCAGACUCGAUGAUGCAUUGGCAUAAUAGCCAGUGCAGUGUCGCAGGGAAGCCGUUAAGUCUGCCGCCUGGGAAGUACGUACGCAAGUAUGAAACUUAAAGGAAUUGGCGGGGGAGCACCACAAGGGGUGAAGCCUGCGGUUCAAU
RNAcentral lists this ribosomal RNA (787 nucleotides) under uncultured marine group I thaumarchaeote. RNAcentral describes it as "SSU rRNA". It matches the Rfam family "Archaeal small subunit ribosomal RNA", at positions 118 to 906 of the family's 1478-position model. The record is from RNAcentral. Lineage: Archaea; Thermoproteati; Nitrososphaerota.